RNAcentral lists this non-coding RNA (379 nucleotides) under Zea mays. Its description in RNAcentral is "Bacterial large subunit ribosomal RNA". It matches the Rfam family "Bacterial large subunit ribosomal RNA", at positions 2652 to 2925 of the family's 2925-position model. Lineage: Eukaryota; Viridiplantae; Streptophyta; Magnoliopsida; Poales; Poaceae. The record is from Rfam by way of RNAcentral.
UUGGAGCUAUUCCGGCUGGGCUUCUUUCUUUGCUUGCGUGCUCUCUCUCUCUGUAUGUAUAUAGCGGUAUACUACCUAUAUGGGAAGGACGCACCUCUGGUGUACCAGUUAUCAUGCCUACGGUAAAUGCUGGGUAGCCAAGUGUGGAGAGGAUAACUGCUAAAAGCAUAUAAGUAGUAAACCCACCCUAAAAUGAGUGCUCUCUCCUCCGACUUCCCUAGAGCCUCCGGUAGCACAGCAGAGAUAGCGACAGGUUCUCCACCUAUACGGGGAUGGAGCGACAGAAGUAUGGAAAUAGGAUAAGGUAGCGGCGAGACAAACCGUUUAAACAGGAGUGGAAGUGCAGUGAUGUAUGCAACUGAGGCAUCCUAACGAACGA